This 465-nucleotide ribosomal RNA is filed under the name uncultured bacterium. RNAcentral describes it as "partial 16S ribosomal RNA". It matches the Rfam family "Bacterial small subunit ribosomal RNA", at positions 28 to 507 of the family's 1533-position model. The record is from RNAcentral.
GACGAACGCUGGCGGCGUGCUUAACACAUGCCAGUCGAACGGAAAGGCCCUGCUUGCAGGGUACUCGAGUGGCGAACGGGUGAGUAACACGUGGGUGAUCUGCCCUGCACUUCGGGAUAAGCCUGGGAAACUGGGUCUAAUACCGGAUAGGAGCCAUUUUUAGUGUGAUGGUUGGAAAGUUUUUUCGGUGUAGGAUGAGCUCGCGGCCUAUCGGCGUGUUGGUGGGGUAAUGGCCUACCAAGGCGGCGACGGGUAGCCGGCCUGAGAGGGUGGACGGCCACACUGGGACUGAGAGACGGCCCAGACUCCUACGGGAGGCAGAAGGGGGGAAUAUUGCACAAUGGGCGCAAGCCUGAUGCAGAGACGCCGCGGGGGGGAGGACGGCCUUCGGGCUGUAAACUCAUUUCGCUAGGGACGAAGCUUUUUGUGACGGUACCUAGAUAAGAAGCACCGGCUAACUACGUG